AACGAACGCUGGCGGCGCGCCUAAUACAUGCAAGUCGAGCGAGAAGACGUAGCAAUACGUUUGUAAAGCGGCGAACGGGUGAGGAAUACAUGGGGUAACCUACCCUCGAGUGGGGAAUAACUAGCCGAAAGGUUAGCUAAUACCGCGUACGCUCCUUGGACUUCGGUUCAGGGAGGAAAGCGAUACCGUGGGUAUCGCGCUCUUGGAUGGGCUCAUGUCCUAUCAGCUUGUUGGUGAGGAACGGCUCACCAAGGCUUCGACGGGUAGCUGGUCUGAGAGGACAAUCAGCCACACUGGCACUGCGACACGGGCCAGACUCCUACGGGAGGCAGCAGUAAGGAAUAUUGCGCAAUGGGCGAAAGCCUGACGCAGCGACGCCGCGUGGGGGA
RNAcentral lists this ribosomal RNA (389 nucleotides) under uncultured bacterium. Its description in RNAcentral is "bacterial SSU rRNA". It matches the Rfam family "Bacterial small subunit ribosomal RNA", at positions 29 to 408 of the family's 1533-position model. The record is from RNAcentral.